This 407-nucleotide ribosomal RNA is filed under the name uncultured bacterium. RNAcentral describes it as "partial 16S ribosomal RNA". It matches the Rfam family "Bacterial small subunit ribosomal RNA", at positions 30 to 526 of the family's 1533-position model. The record is from RNAcentral.
AUUGAACGCUGGCGGCAGGCCUAACACAUGCAAGUCGAGCGGAGCGGCGGGCGGGUGAGUAAUGCCUAGGAAUCUGCCUGGUAGUGGGGGAUAACGUCCGGAAACGGGCGCUAAUACCGCAUACUAUCAGAUGAGCCUAGGUCGGAUUAGCUAGUUGGUUGGGUAAAGGCCUACCAAGGCGACGAUCCGUAACUGGUCUGAGAGGAUGAUCAGUCACAUUGGGAAUGAGACACGGUCCAGACUCCUACGGGGGGCAGCAGUGGGGAAUAUUGGACAAUGGGCGCAAGCCUGAUGCAGCCAUGCCGCGGGGUUGAAGAAGGCCUUCGGGUUGUAAAGUACUUUCAGCGGGGAGGCGUUACCCGCAGAAGAAGCACCGGCUAACUCCGUGCCAGCAGCCGCGGUAAUAC